Molecule: transfer RNA, 68 nt
Filed under: Botryllus schlosseri
Lineage: Eukaryota; Metazoa; Chordata; Ascidiacea; Stolidobranchia; Styelidae
Description: transfer RNA-Cys
Source: RNAcentral
AGUUUGGUAGGUUAAUUUCAAACCGCAGUAUUGCAAAUACUGAGAUAAUGUUGUAUCAUUUGUGCUCG